RNAcentral lists this ribosomal RNA (904 nucleotides) under uncultured Bacillota bacterium. Its description in RNAcentral is "bacterial SSU rRNA". It matches the Rfam family "Bacterial small subunit ribosomal RNA", at positions 1 to 917 of the family's 1533-position model. Lineage: Bacteria; Bacillati; Bacillota. The record is from RNAcentral.
UGGGAUCCAGACUUUGAUCCUGGCUCAGGACGAACGCUGGCGGCGUGCCUAACACAUGCAAGUCGAACGGAGCUCCGCCCUUCGGGACGGAACUUAGUGGCGAACGGGUGAGUAACGCGUGAAGAACCUGCCUUUCAGUGGGGGACAACAGUCGGAAACGACUGCUAAUACCGCAUGAUGUUCUUUGGGGGCAUCUCUAAGGAACCAAAGCUUAAUGUGCUGAAAGAUGGCUUCGCGUCUGAUUAGCUAGUUGGCGGGGUAACGGCCCACCAAGGCGACGAUCAGUAGCCGGUCUGAGAGGAUGAACGGCCACAUUGGGACUGAGAUACGGCCCAGACUCCUACGGGAGGCAGCAGUGGGGAAUAUUGGGCAAUGGGGGAAACCCUGACCCAGCAACGCCGCGUGAAGGAAGAAGGCCUUCGGGUCGUAAACUUCUUUUACCAGGGACGAAGGACGUGACGGUACCUGGAGAAAAAGCAACGGCUAACUACGUGCCAGCAGCCGCGGUAAUACGUAGGUUGCAAGCGUUGUCCGGAUUUACUGGGUGUAAAGGGCGUGUAGGCGGAGGCGCAAGUUGGGAGUGAAAUCUAUGGGCUCAACCCAUAAGCUGCUCUCAAAUCUGUGCCCCUUGAGUAUCGGAGAGGCAAGCGGAAUUCCUAGUGUAGCGGUGAAAUGUGUAGAUAUUAGGAGGAACACCAGUGGCGAAGGCGGCUUGCUGGACGACAACUGACGCUGAGGCGCGAAAGCGUGGGGAGCAAACAGGAUUAGAUACCCUGGUAGUCCACGCUGUAAACGAUGAAUACUAGGUGUGGGAGGACUGACCCCUUCCGUGCCGCAGUUAACACAAUAAGUAUUCCACCUGGGGAGUACGACCGCAAGGUUGCAACUCAAAGGAAUUGACGGA